Molecule: ribosomal RNA, 253 nt
Filed under: uncultured bacterium
Lineage: Bacteria
Description: partial 16S ribosomal RNA
Rfam family: Bacterial small subunit ribosomal RNA
Source: RNAcentral
UACGUAAAAUGCGAUCGUUCAUCGGCAUUACUAAACGUAAAGCGUGCGCAGGCAAUCUCGUAAGCUAGGUGUGCAAGCCCCUGGCUUAACCUGGGACUGGCAUUCAGAACUGCGAGGCUCGAGUGUGGCAGAGGGAGGUGGAAUUCCACAUAUAGCAGUGAAAUGCAUAGAGAUGUGGAGGAACACCGAUGGCGAAGGCAGCCUCCUGGGCCAGCACUGACGCUCAUGCACGAAAGCGUGGGGAGCAAACAGG